Long non-coding RNA from Mauremys reevesii (Reeves's turtle), 934 nucleotides. RefSeq lists it as uncharacterized. The record is from RefSeq and is a predicted model, not a curated record. NCBI's taxonomy places the organism in Eukaryota, Metazoa, Chordata, Testudines, Geoemydidae. The transcript has 5 exons.
AGCAAUGGACGGGGCUGUGAAACAUGAGGCGAUUAAAAGCGUCCGAGGGCGCCGUGCCCAGUCGGCGGAGCUGCGUGGGGCCCUCGCGUUCGCUUUCCCCGCUGGACGGGUGCCAGAGGGUGAGGGCUGCAGCCCCCGCUUGUCUGUGCUAGCGCGGCCCUGAAAAACUAAACUCGCUUGGGCGGGUCUGCAGCAAUGAAUCAGCCCCUGGCCUCUCUGGCCAGCGCUGAGAAGAAUAGAACCAAGGAAGGACAGCAUGGUUGAGGGACUCUAGAAGCUACAGAGGUCUACAUAGUUGAAAUUCUGAUCACAACCGUUGGAAAAGACUCACCCUGCAGAAAAUGCCACUAACGGAAGGCAAAUUACACAGGGAGUUGACAUUCAAGGCCCCCAGAUCUCCUACCACUCAGGAAAGGGGCAACAUGCUGUGACAAAACUUCACUGAUCAACAAAAGGGUGCUGGCUGGACUGAUAACAAAGUGGCUGCUGCCUUGUGCGAGAGAUGCGUGUUCAGGAGGGACCUCAGGAGUCUUGCUACCAAGGCCAGUAAAGAGGAGAACAUGUGCACUCCACAGGGAGCUAGUACAGAAAUGGUGAAGGCAUCUGCAGAAGGGCCGACAAGGGAAGUUUUGACUGGGAAAAUUUGUGCUGGAGAGUGACUGUCGCACCUUGCGAGAGAGGACAGGCUGAAUUUUGCUCAUGCUUAUUUACCGUGCGAAAGCUGGUAACUGUGUUGUGAGGCCUGGUCAGGCUACUUUCAUCCUUGGAUGGCAGAUCUUCAAGAAACACCUCGGUGUUGAAUGAAGAAGUACUUGCGAUUCAUUAGGAGCCACUCUUCUCUCUGAAUCAGCACUGCUCCUGGGGAUCUCAUUUUAUAGAAGAGAUGCAUAUCUGAGACCCUGCCCAUGUGUGGCCAUUAAAGACCCUAACCUAU